GCCUGUGCUCGCUAAACAUAUACUAAAAUUGGAACAAUACAAAGAAGAUUACAUGGCCUCUGCACAAGAAUGACACGCACAUUCGUGAAGCAGUCCAUAUUUUU
Molecule: small nuclear RNA, 104 nt
Organism: Rhinolophus ferrumequinum (greater horseshoe bat)
Lineage: Eukaryota; Metazoa; Chordata; Mammalia; Chiroptera; Rhinolophidae
Source: Ensembl